GGGGUUGUGGCUCAGUGGUAGAGUUUUCACCUAGCACAUGAGAGGCCCUGGGUUCGAUCCUCAGCACCA
This 69-nucleotide transfer RNA is filed under the name Ictidomys tridecemlineatus (thirteen-lined ground squirrel). Its description in RNAcentral is "Spermophilus tridecemlineatus (thirteen-lined ground squirrel) tRNA". It matches the Rfam family "tRNA". From Rfam's summary of the family: Transfer RNA (tRNA) molecules are approximately 80 nucleotides in length. Their secondary structure includes four short double-helical elements and three loops (D, anti-codon, and T loops). The record is from Rfam by way of RNAcentral. Lineage: Eukaryota; Metazoa; Chordata; Mammalia; Rodentia; Sciuridae.